This 586-nucleotide ribosomal RNA is filed under the name Toxomerus norma. RNAcentral's name for it is "eukaryotic LSU rRNA". The record is from RNAcentral. Lineage: Eukaryota; Metazoa; Arthropoda; Insecta; Diptera; Syrphidae.
AGUACGUGAAACUGCUUAGAGGUUAAACCCGAUGAACCUGAAUAUCCAUUAUGGAAAAUUCAAUACUAAUAUUACAAUAUAUAUCAUAUUUGUAAAAAUAGUGUGCAAUUUUUCCAUAUAAGGACAUUGUAAUCUGUUAAUGUAAUAAUUAUUUAUCAAAAGAUUCUUUACUUAAGUUUAUUCAAAUUGUUUAUUUUCGGAUAUUCAACAUAAAAUAAAUGUAUUGAAUUGGAUAAAUCAUUGACAGAUAUAAUUAUAUAAUGUGCUCAAAUUCUAUGGAAUUUUACAAUGAUAAAUGAAUCUAUUGAUUUGUUUAUUUAUUUGUCUGCACUAUUAUGAUUAACAAUGCGAUAGAUUCAGGAUACCUUCGGGACCCGUCUUGAAACACGGACCAAGGAGUCUAACAUAUGUGCAAGUCAUUGGGUAUUUAUAAUAAAACCCAAUGGCAUAAUUAACUUAACUUUAUUUAUAAUGGGAUUAGUUUAUAAUUUAUUAUGAAUUAUUUAUUCAAUCCCGGGGCGUUCUAUACAGUUAUGUAUAAUGGUAUUUAUAUUAUUUAUACCUCUAACUAGAGCGUACCUUGAGC